RNAcentral lists this long non-coding RNA (1379 nucleotides) under Bos mutus (wild yak). RNAcentral's name for it is "lncRNA (ENSBMUG00000018300.1)". The record is from RNAcentral. Lineage: Eukaryota; Metazoa; Chordata; Mammalia; Artiodactyla; Bovidae.
CGGAAUUAGGGGAGAGGAUCCGGUGAGGAUUUCGGAGAGAUGGCAGCGUCCUGGGAGCCAUGUGAAGAUGGGGAGGGCCGAAAUCGCUCUCCCUCUUCACGGCAGGGAGACGCAGGAAGCUCUUAGGGUCGCUGCCCGGGCCGAGGCGUCGAGGCAACCAGGCAGACAGGGGUCUUUCCCUGACCUACUCCACCAUCUCCAAGGACCACGCGUCUCUGCUUUCCCCAUCCCUUCCUGGGAGGAGGAAAGGGCGUUGCCCUGCUGGAGCUUUCACCGCAGGGGCUUCUCCACACACACAGAGGCCUCUGGUCUGGCCGCACUGGUUUCCCCUCCCCAGGUGUCCUCGAGGUGGGGUAUCAGCACGAAGGAGGUAGGUUGACACGCAGCCAGUGUGUUUGUCCUGGAAGAUGUCGCCAAGUUGCCUCCAGGCUCUGGGAUCAGGGGGAGGACCUGGAGUACCCCGGGCAGGUGGGGAGUGAGGAGAGCAAGGCACAGAGAAGCAGCAAGUGCCCAAGGUGGGAUGAGAUGGGCUGGCCGAAGACAUGAAGGUCCCCAAGGGCCUCCCAAACUCAGGCAUGUGGCUCAGGGUCAUCUCCCCACCCAGACCCAUGGCAGUCUCCCAAGGGAUUUCAGCAGCCAGUCUCACUAACAUCUGGCAAGUCCUGCUUUGUGUGUUGCUUCAUCAAUCUGGUUGACUCUUCAGCAGGUUUCCAAAACACAGAGACUUGCGGAAAAUUCAUGCUGCUCCUCACGGCUGUUGCGUGUUGGGGACCCUCAUUCCUCUGUGACAUUCUUAUUCAAAACUCCUUAGGAGCCCAGUGCUCAUUUUCCAAAUGGAUACCAUCCCGGUGUCACUGUCACCAGAUAAACCUAUGGAGAGAGAAGAUGGUCAAAGGGACCUUGACAACCUCCCUUUAAAAACUGCCAGGCAGGAGCCUCCUCUGUAGAACCAGAGGAACGCCUACGCUGUCCUCCCCACAGGCCCAGCCAAGGGGCCAGCCGCAGGCUCUCAGUGGAAUGCCAGGACGAGGAGGACAGGACCAGCCACUUCCUCCAUCACUGUCACCUGCUGGCCAGGCGCAGGUCUCCAGGAUCAGUUCGGGAAGAAGAGCUCACAGUGCCAGUCUUGGUGACUCAGAUAUAGGGUCUGGAUGCACUAAAUCAUCUCCAGAGCUGGCUGCAGACUGAAGGCCGGAGAGGGGAUGGAAGCACCUGGGCUGGGGCAUUCCCACUCCAGCCAUGAACCCAGCAACUUGCUCCAGCAACCCAGCAAAAUGUUGGCUGCACAGUGCUGAGAUCAAAACAGAGUUCAAGCACUCCGGGAAUCUGACAUACUCGAUCUCUGAGAUUAUUAAGCACAGCGUGCUUCUCAGAACCUC